AUGCAUCUGCCACUGCUGGCGAACGCUCCGGGCGCUGGAGACGGCCGUUCUUUUCCGCAGGUACGUGAAACCCAGUUGCAUACACAACCUAUCCCUCCAACCUCGCCGCCCCAUCUCUGCUGUGCUUUCUCGGUGGAACUCAGACCGUGGCGCUCCAUUCCUAUCACCGUCGUCACACCGAUGGCCAGAGCGGGAUCCGCCACUCCCACGGCCGGGCCCCUCCUCGGCGGGCGCCCCUCCCUUAUCGCCGCCAACAACAGCGGAAGGUGUCGUGUCGUUUCCGACGUGGCGGAGCACAGCCACACGGCCGGGGCGCUCGGACACCUCCCGCUCUUCGGCGCACCCGCCGGCUCAACCUGCACGGUAGGCGGCUCCGGCACAACGGCCCCCCGCGGAGUCGUCGUCGGUGCGCUUGACCACGGCAAGGAGGGCGUCGCCCCCCGCGGAGUCCUCGCCGGGCGCCCGUCCGUGCCACACGCCGACGUCGCGGCCAGCCACAGCGGACGCCCUCGUCUCUCCAAGGAGUGCCACAACGUCGCCGACGCCGCAGGGCACGGCCUGGACGCUCGGGCUUGGGCUACCCCCGCUCCUCGGCGGCUCCACCUCUGUCGCGACGGGCAACUAUGUUUUGUCUCUAAUGCAUGUUUCGCUAAAACCCUUCUAUUUUUUGCAGAGCUCUCACAAAUCAGUCAACCUACGAAGUGGCCAGAUGGAAGGGGCUAUUUCUACUUAAGGUAUGUGAUAUCAACAACAACGCAGGCUCCAGUUUGCUCUGAUUUUAUGAUUCAUCACUGCUAUAUUGUUAGACUUGGUACUGAAAUAAUGGAGCUGUACCACUUGCAGGGCAAUUCUGGACAGAGCUCAUCCAUUCAGUAAAUGCAUAUAUAGGAACAUCUGUGACUUCUGCCUCACUAGGGAAUGAAUUUGCUCCGGAAGCCGUGUGAGGCUAGAGAUAUUGUUUACUGUCCUAUGAUUUCAGCAAUAUACGACUGGAAGUAGGUUCCAGUGAUUGAAACUGUACAGGGUGAUUUCUCACGCUUCUGUAUGAAUGUGAAUUCGAGCUGUGAUUGUUUGUCGCAGUCUACAGUUUUGCUCCUCUCUUUUAAUAGCCAAGCACAAUUUGCUCUUUUAAGCCAUUUGUGUUUGCAUCACCAUUCAGAUUUUCUGUGAACUCAAUACCCUCCAAUUUCUCAUUCUUCCACUGUUCCAUUGUGCAAUAACCUUUCAAU
Molecule: long non-coding RNA, 1229 nt
Filed under: Triticum aestivum (bread wheat)
Lineage: Eukaryota; Viridiplantae; Streptophyta; Magnoliopsida; Poales; Poaceae
Description: long non-coding RNA (TAES_LNC021473)
Source: RNAcentral